This 1721-nucleotide ribosomal RNA is filed under the name Drosophila melanogaster (fruit fly). RNAcentral's name for it is "eukaryotic LSU rRNA". It matches the Rfam family "Eukaryotic large subunit ribosomal RNA", at positions 1941 to 3401 of the family's 3401-position model. Lineage: Eukaryota; Metazoa; Arthropoda; Insecta; Diptera; Drosophilidae. The record is from RNAcentral.
AUAAGGAUUGGCUCUGAAGAUUGAGAUAGUCGGGCUUGAUUGGGAAACAAUAACAUGGUUUAUGUGCUCGUUCUGGGUAAAUAGAGUUUCUAGCAUUUAUGUUAGUUACUUGUUCCCCGGAUAGUUUAGUUACGUAGCCAAUUGUGGAACUUUCUUGCUAAAAUUUUUAAGAAUACUAUUUGGGUUAAACCAAUUAGUUCUUAUUAAUUAUAACGAUUAUCAAUUAACAAUCAAUUCAGAACUGGCACGGACUUGGGGAAUCCGACUGUCUAAUUAAAACAAAGCAUUGUGAUGGCCCUAGCGGGUGUUGACACAAUGUGAUUUCUGCCCAGUGCUCUGAAUGUCAAAGUGAAGAAAUUCAAGUAAGCGCGGGUCAACGGCGGGAGUAACUAUGACUCUCUUAAGGUAGCCAAAUGCCUCGUCAUCUAAUUAGUGACGCGCAUGAAUGGAUUAACGAGAUUCCUGUCCCUAUCUACUAUCUAGCGAAACCACAGCCAAGGGAACGGGCUUGGAAUAAUUAGCGGGGAAAGAAGACCCUUUUGAGCUUGACUCUAAUCUGGCAGUGUAAGGAGACAUAAGAGGUGUAGAAUAAGUGGGAGAUAUUAGACCUCGGUUUGGUAUCGUCAAUGAAAUACCACUACUCUUAUUGUUUCCUUACUUACUUGAUUAAAUGGAACGUGUAUCAUUUCCUAGCCAUUAUACGGAUAUAUUUAUUAUAUCUUAUGGUAUUGGGUUUUGAUGCAAGCUUCUUGAUCAAAGUAUCACGAGUUUGUUAUAUAAUCGCAAACAAAUUCUUUAAUAAAACGAUGCAUUUAUGUAUUUUUGAUUUGAAAAUUUGGUAUAACUCCAAUUACUCAGGUAUGAUCCAAUUCAAGGACAUUGCCAGGUAGGGAGUUUGACUGGGGCGGUACAUCUCUCAAAUAAUAACGGAGGUGUCCCAAGGCCAGCUCAGUGCGGACAGAAACCACACAUAGAGCAAAAGGGCAAAUGCUGACUUGAUCUCGGUGUUCAGUACACACAGGGACAGCAAAAGCUCGGCCUAUCGAUCCUUUUGGUUUAAAGAGUUUUUAACAAGAGGUGUCAGAAAAGUUACCAUAGGGAUAACUGGCUUGUGGCGGCCAAGCGUUCAUAGCGACGUCGCUUUUUGAUCCUUCGAUGUCGGCUCUUCCUAUCAUUGUGAAGCAAAAUUCACCAAGCGUUGGAUUGUUCACCCAUGCAAGGGAACGUGAGCUGGGUUUAGACCGUCGUGAGACAGGUUAGUUUUACCCUACUAAUGACAAAACGUUGUUGCGACAGCAUUCCUGCGUAGUACGAGAGGAACCGCAGGUACGGACCAAUGGCACAAUACUUGUUCGAGCGAACAGUGGUAUGACGCUACGUCCGUUGGAUUAUGCCUGAACGCCUCUAAGGUCGUAUCCGUGCUGGACUGCAAUGAUAAAUAAGGGGCAAUUUGCAUUGUAUGGCUUCUAAACCAUUUAAAGUUUAUAAUUUACUUUAUAAACGACAAUGGAUGUGAUGCCAAUGUAAUUUGUAACAUAGUAAAUUGGGAGGAUCUUCGAUCACCUGAUGCCGCGCUAGUUACAUAUAAAAGCAUUAUUUAAUACAAUGACAAAGCCUAGAAUCAAUUGUAAACGACUUUUGUAACAGGCAAGGUGUUGUAAGUGGUUGAGCAGCUGCCAUACUGCGAUCCACUGAAGCUUAUCCUUUGCUUGAUGAUUCGA